Long non-coding RNA from Corvus hawaiiensis (hawaiian crow), 11118 nucleotides. RefSeq lists it as uncharacterized. The transcript has 3 exons. NCBI's taxonomy places the organism in Eukaryota, Metazoa, Chordata, Aves, Passeriformes, Corvidae. The record is from RefSeq and is a predicted model, not a curated record.
AUGGAUAUAUGUGUCUCUCUGAGCUGCCUUGGAAAAUUUUUGGCCAGCUGUGAUGUCUGUGAGAAAAGCCUCUGUGGGUACGUGUGUGUGCAUGCACAAUGAAGGACUGCUCUAAGGACAACUUAGGAAAAACCCUCCUUGUUAACCAUUUUUAAAACCUCCCUUAGAGGAGAGGCACUCAAACGUGGCGCUCCCCUUUCCCCACACCUCCCCACUCACAGCAGUGCCCCACAAGUCACAUCAGCCCCCAGCCAGAAAGCUGGGCUUUGCCUCCAAGGAUAGGUGUGCUCAUCCCACUGCCGCCCCUCUCCAUCCUGCAGAGGCAGCUGCCCUCGCCCUUGAGCCUUAUAGGGGAAGGCGGCCUCCUCCCUCACCAAGGCUACGUCCCCAAGGCAGCAGCUGUGAGAAGCAGGCAGGGAAGGGGAAAAAAAGUGAAGGAGAGAAGGAGGGGAAUCAAGGAGGGAGGCACAGAAAGCUGCACUUUCCUCUGAGCAGAGCAAGCAUCCCCUCGGAGGGGCCCCAGACCCAGGGGCUGCCUCCUGAGCCCUGGGCCUCCCACAAGGCAGGAGCAGCAUCUCCUCCUCCACAGCCCGGCAGCCACAGUGGGGGCAGCCCCACGUCCUGGCUUGGCCUGAAUGCUCCAUGCAGGCCUUGCAGGUCUGCAGUGAGGGGACAGAGAUGCACAGGGACUGAGCCAGGCUCAGGCACUGGUUUCAGACAGGAAACUCCAAUGGUCCGGGGCUGCUGAACAUCCUUCAUAAUGACAUGAUGCUAAAAGUCACUUUCUGUGACUUGAUUAAAGGGCUCAUGUAAAAGAUCUGCUGGGAUCUGCAGCUGUCAAGAGGAAACUGCAGUCAGAAUAAUCCACCAGGAUUUAUCAAGAGAAUGUUUUCUUUCAGCUUACCCCACCAGAGCACUUUUUUAACCUCGAGGAUGCUAGCUUUCCCUGAAAAGCUGUAAUUACACUUUUAAAAAGUGCUUUCCUGCUCUUAUCUUCAACUUAGUUGUGGGAAGAAGACACGAAAUCAGAUAGACACCCAGACUCUGGAAAGGAAGUACUUUUUACGUGGAACCAAAGAAAUAUCUCAUAGAAUCAUCAGCUCAGCUCUCCUGCAAUGCUAUUUCCUUGCAUUUAGCAGAAUUUAGAUCAAUUAAGUACUCUCUCUUUUAGUUAAGAGGGCUUUGAGGAGGACUAUCCCGCAUUCAACUUCUCAGUUCAAAUUUCCAAAGACUUUUUUUUUCUUCUCUCAACACAACAGUGACCACAGUCCAUUGAAAAUUUGGCACCUAAUUUCUGCAAGAGAUAUAAACCAUCUUCAGUGAAUGAGGUGUUGCCUACCAGCCAACUCUUAUUGCAAGUCACUGGGAUAAAGCGCCUGAGUCACCUUUUGAAAAGGGUGGUGUCUGAAGGCAGAUAUGCAUCACAGCACAUGUGGCCAUGACCAAAGUAGCUCUGAAUCCCUCCAUGGUGGAGCCAAUUAAAGCAUGUCAGCAGGCUCUACCCACCCAAGCAGUUCCCGGGGGAUUUUGGGGUCUCUGAAUUCUUUGCCUCACCCCUCUUCUUGCCUCAAAACACUACUUUUAUGACUCUGCAGAUGCAAACAUAACCAGUUUAUGAGAUACCAUGCAGAUGCACUAAACCAUCUAUCGCUUCAAUCCUCCUCUCCAUUUCUAACAUCCCUUUCAGCAUCCCUUUCAGUCUGAUCUCCCUCAAGUGCAUCCCCUGAAAUGGGACCACUCACCCAAAUAAUAUGUGACAGCUUGUGGUUUAGGGGGUGCCACUGUAGCAGCUGAACAUCUUAUGAGCAUGUGUGCUCAACAGGAAAUCCUCAUUCCAUGACAGAGCACUUGAAACACAGAAAGUUUUCAAGGGCCUCAACCAAGAAAAUGCGAUGGUGCGAGAAGCAAAGGCGAGAUGUUUUGCCUCUGGGGCCUCUGCUCAAAGACAAGCUGUUCCCACCCGUCUCUUCAUUAACUCAUAAACAGAAACUUUGGACCUUACCCAGAGCUCUCCCCCCACAGAAUAUCUUGCUUUAAAUUAUUUUUCCGAUAUCAUCCAAGAUCAUAUUUUUCCUUUUAUGUGUCCAAGUUGAAGUUUAUUAUAGUUUUCUACAUUGCUGAUCAGCUGUAACCCUUUCUAUUAUUUUCCUGUCCUUGCUACUAUUUGAAAUGCUUCUUACUUGAUCCCCUUCAAAUUUUAUUACUGCACUUCUCACCUCAUUUGUGUACCAAACCCAUUCUGCCUUGCAUUUAUUCUCACCAAACUUGAGGACACAACUCUUCCCUCUCCUCUGCUGUACAGCACCACCAGAUCCACUUUUUUCCAUCCUUUUCCAUCCACAGUUUGCCUCUCUGCUGAUGAAGUGACCCUAGCUGGGUUUAACCAGUGCCAGCCACAUUGUCCUUACCAUUAGUGCUACAUUUCUAGUUAUUCUUGCUUCUUCCCAAAGCCUUUGAAGUCGUGUAGAGACAAUUUGAUUCAUUAGUAUACCCAGCCUUGCAGUAACCCUAGCUUCUGCUUUAGUUUCUCUAUUAGAAGCAUAUGUUGGGUCUAUAACUUAGUGGAAAGCUCCACCCUCUGACUUCCCCACACAGUUGAAAUUCUGCUCUGCCUCACUGAACUCAAGAGGCUGGUGCCUUUCUGCCCUGGGUUUCCAUACCUGGCAAUGCCACCUCCUCCUCCCUCCCUACUGGUUUGGCAAACUUGUGAGCAAUAUGCUUUCUCUUUCUGCAUGUCUCCACACUAGAGGCUUUUACAGCAGUUCCAUACGUUUGCAGUUCUCUUCACAUUUUUUCAGAAGAGCUGUGAUCAUCCCAAAUAUUUCAUUACUGGUUUCAUGUAGGCUGAGGUCCAUCAGCAGCACUUCACUAGACAUCCUUAUGUCACCUUCAUUGUCCUUGUUGGGUCAGGAGGCAGGUAACCACCUCGUUUCUUCUUCUGGCCUUUGGGACGCAGGGCCAGUCUCUUCCAUGAGGGACCACUCAAAAGGAUCUCUUGCCUUCUUGACUCAGGUGGCUCCUCCCAGAGCUAUGUGCCACAUAAUACUCUCCAAAAGUGGCAGUGUUGGCACCAAGAAUAUAAAACGUGGCUUGACGCACAUUCUGUGCUUGGUCUUCUGGUCUGUCCUGCAGCUGUGCUAUGUCCCAUAGAGGGUUUUCACCUCCACUGAUUGCUUUUUCACUGCCCAAUGGGUUUGUCUGUUCCUCCAAACACAUGCCAAGACCAUCACAAACAACGACUAACUCUCAGAGGAACUUUACCUCAUAAAUGUAUUAAAAACCCCCAGUGUUUCAAGUAAGAGACCUCCUAAGAAACUCCAUCACAGGACCACUUGCUGCUCUGGGCAUGUAGUUUAUUCCAUUCCCUCUUUCCACUUUCCAGUGCUUUUCAUAAAGUCCUUCUUACCUGCCUGUCUCUUAAUAUAGAUUUUGUUUAGGAUGCCAAGCCAGCCUGCCUCAUGUUUUCCCUUGGAUCUGUUCCCUGCUCCUAGCCAAGGUUGCCUGUGGAUCCUGCUUUGAAGUUCUUCUGUGACACAUUUGCUGCUGUCGGUGACUCUUCCCUUGGCUGACGUCACCUUGGGGGUCCCUCUCCAGUGGGCUGAGAAUCACACUGCCUCUUUGAUCAAAAUGAAAUCCAUUUACAAGCGCCCAAUGAGCUGGCACAAACCGACCCCCAGGUUUCUAGACAAAUCUAGCUGAAAUAAAAAUAUGCCAGUUUUAACUUCAGUUGAAUCCUUAAUCUAGCUAAGGUGAACCCAGAAUAAAAAAAAAAUUUAAAAAUUUCAAUUUACAAGCACUUUCUGUUUGUUUAGCUCAAAUUAAUCCCGCAUCAUCAAAAUUGAUGCAAGAUCAGGUUAAAUCAAGGUAAGUGUCUGUACAGGGGUUUACCUCUGCAUUUUAGAAAGUGAACUUGAAAUUACACUUCAAAUAAUUUUUAUGCUUGGAAAAGGCCUUUUUCUAGAGACCAGCUGGGCCCUGAUUAUGAAUGGUGUUCAGCUCCAGCAGGUCUGGGUGAAGACUGUAGAAGCAGAUGGAUCUCAGUGAUGCUGGAAAUCAGACUCAGUCUCAGCACCUACGGCAAUUCAGCCUGCACAUCCUUCAAACCCCAGUAAAAGCCAGCUCUCAAUGGCUGUUCCAAGGAGCUGAAGUGGGCAGUCUCUAUGUUAGAAAAGGUCAUUUUUCUUUGUGAUUAUAACUUGAGACUCUGCAUGUGUUUGUGAAGUAAUUUUCCUGAACCCAAUAAGUACAGCAGUUGUCUAGUGUAAAAAUGAGGGGUUUCAGCCCAAGAGAUUACCUCCACUUUACUAAGUUUUUCCCUUUCAAGUACUUAUAACUAUUGAUGGCUAUGUCAAAUCAUCCUCAAAGGAAGGAAGGACGGAUGGAAAGAAGGAGGAGAGUUUUUGUAGCCAGCUGAUUUUGUGUAAUCCAUAUUUUCUUUAAAACUUCAAGUCCUUCCACAAGGAGGACUGUUCUGACCUCAGACAAAUUGUGGAAAACAGUUUGAAAUAAAAUAUAUUUGAAGAAUUAGGGAAGUACCUUCUCUACAUGCUCAGUUCUUCGAUUCCCAACCACUUCCCAAGCAGUUUGCUGUGGUGUCCUGAAUUCAUGUGCAUGCCAGAUGUGCACUGGCACUUGUACCCAUGCCCCCAUCCUCCUUCCUAUGCAAAGUCAUCUGUCACCCCACUAGCUUCUCACCUGCAGGAGGGGAUAACCUGAAUUUAUUUUUAUGACAAUCAUUUUGGUAACUGCCUUUUUCUGGUUGGUUUUCUUUGCUGUUGAGCCUGUAAUUUAGUUUUGCUGCCAUAAAUAGUUAACCCCAGAGUGAGAAGCUGUGAAACAAUCCCUGAAGGUACUUGGCUGGCAGUGGCCGGGUUUUAACACUCAGGUUUUCUUUUUCGCCCAAGACCCAGAGAAAUGAUGAGUUAUCAAAUACCACUGGGAUCACUGGUAGAACUGCUCUCUUGAUGAAAAGAGGGUGCAAGCUUUCAUGAUGGGAAGAAAGGUCUGGAAUAAAGAGAAUUUGAGCUCCAGCAUCACGAGGCAUCAGAUAAUCAACAUGGUCCCUUCACUUUCUCACCCAGUGGCAUCUUAUUCCCAGGCUGGUUUUAUGUCAGCACAGGGACACAAAGGCAGAAUUUAUGUCCACUAGUGUGCAUUAACUCCUGUCCUAACCAGUACUAAUUACCGCUAAUUAUGUGGGACAGUGUUAAUUCUUUUAGCAGCAUUAUCGCUGCCCUUACACUUCUGAAAGUGCCUUUGGGUGAGGCAGCUCACUUUGAAGAGAUAUUUAUGUGGGGAAUAAAUAUAGAGUAGCUAAUACACUGUAAAUUUACACCACUGGAUAGCAGCCUUUAAAGGAGGUCUUUGGGCACAAAGACAGACAAACCCUUGAGUAAGAACUACUCAAUAGAAAAGGUGGCAGGAUCACCCUGUGUGAUCUUGGGAAAGUAAUUUUGAUCUGGCAUUUCUCUUCUGUAAAAUUGGAAAAAUAAUAUAUCCCUAGCCCUCUCAAGGGUAUAAUAUUUAUUUUCUCUGCCUUGCCAAUCAUUCUCUUUGCUUUUAAAAAAUAUUCUCCAAACCCUAAUUGUUUUUAUGUGUUUGCAGUAUAAGACAUAAAAGACAUUAACUCAUCAUAUUUUUCUAUACUGUAUUUUCCCCAUUGUGCUGUACUGUUAAUGUGAGCACUUUGCUGUGCAGAGGCUUGGCUAUUUGCUGAAAGGAUGAAUUAAGACAUCUAAAAUGCUUCAGCAUCUUGGCUGAGCGGCACUGCAGAGUUGGAAGGUAUCAUUAGGCCAAAUGGCUCUUUUCUGCAGGAGGGAGAAGCCCAGAUAUUUUUCAGAGGAUUAAGGAAAACCAGUUCACAUUCCUUUGUGACCUCCAUCCUGCAAAUAUAGGGCAGGAGGCCACAGCUUUGAAUCACAAAACUCUGUUCACUCCCUUUAGUUUGGGUGUUUCUCUCCUGACUGGUAUGUCAGCAUUCAGCUUGGGAUGUCAGGAGACAUCAGAUGACCCCAGCCCACCCUGGCAUCAGCAUCUCUGCAGUUUAGCUUGGUGUUUCUCCUUCCAGAGUCUGCAUGGUCACCACGAAUAUGGUCCUGGAUGAUUUUGUUGGUGUGGCCGUCUCCUCCAGCAAGAGCACUAAGUCAGGAAGCUUUGCUGUUAGACCAUUAUUGUCUGGUCCCUUUGACCCCAACAAAGGGCUCGUGCCCACCAGUCCAUCAGAUCCAUGGAGAAAGGCCAAAAAUCAUCGCAUGGUGCUCUGCUAGGCAGCAGAGCUGCUGCUUCUCCACAUAACCAGUGUAUGCAUCAAGCCAGGCAGUCUCUGCCUCUGAGGGUUUCCCAUCUUUGGAUGGACCCUUGCCCCUGGGUCCCUCCUUCAGUCUCACUGGCAGUCAAGUGAUAUCUUUUCAGCCCCUCCCAUCACUGGCAUUUCAUUUCUUUUCCCUGGUUACUGAGCAGGUAGACGUGGCAGCGCAGUGCCUGUGAGCCUGCUCCUGCAGUGUUGGGGCACUGAUGAUCUCUGGGGCUUCAGAGAUGAUCUUCACAUGCCUAGUUCUUUAAGACACCCUGAAGAGAUGCUUCCUUCCAGAAAUAGUAUGCUGGGACACUCUUUCCACUUAUCAUACUGGAAAUACUUAUUCCAGCCUUUUUUACUGCUCAUGCAGCAAUGCCCAUGUCAGGCUUGGGGGUCUCUAACCUUAGGCAGGGCACAUCUUCCCUAGGCUGCUUGCUCCCGGACUUGUGUACUAUAUUUGCGGUUAUUUUCAUCCUUUCCCUGACCAUUUGGCUAUUUCAAAUCAUUUUUCUGAGCAUUUCUCUCAACAUUAUGUCCAGUAAACUGGAAUCAGAUGUACCACAAAUGGCUUUUUCAGUAAGUUAUCUUUAUAUCUGCAGAUGGAUGCCAAGGUUCUUGACCCUGAAUAAAGCAAUUUUCCAUCUGCUUUUUUGGUUUUUAGGUGAAAGAACAGGAGUCUUGUUUGCCCAAAUACAGCAAUACAGAAACAUGCAUCAGUGCUGGGCCUGGACUUCAGGCUGUUUCCUCCUCUGCCUUCCCCACCUACUUUUAUGAAUAAGAGGCAACAUUUGGCCUUUGCAAUCAAAAUGAACUUUUGCACUCACUUCUCUCUCAAUUCCUAAAAUUUUAGACUUAAUGAAAAAAAAAGGGAGUCUGCACUUUCAGCAAGUUAUCUUCCUUUUCCACUUUUCCCUGUUCGCAUAUGAUGCUUUCUCACAGAAGUUCCCUGCAAACCAACACCUGAAAAGGCUCAGGUGAGGGGAACAGAACAGCUUAUCCUCUCAUGCCCCCCAGUUUUAACACACUUACAAAUGUACUGACUUGAUUUAUGGGGCUGUAAGAAGUGGGACUGACCUCUGUCCUUCUGUACUCCCUGCCAAAGAGCCUGGGAGAGACAAGCAGCUUCUGAGAGGCUUGUUGGUUUGCGUUCAUCAACAGCAGCUGUCAGACAGCUCUCACUGAAGCUCCCCAUCCUUUCAAAACCCACACAGCUUUCUACUUCAUGUAGAAAUAUGCAGCAGUUUCGUUUGUAUAAAACCUGCAUGAAUAAAAAUUUAAUCUAAGGCUAUCACUGCUCUAACAGCAAUAAUUUCUCUUAAAGGCUCAAUACGAAGAAUACUAAAUACUGUCUAUAAAUAAGAUUGUAUUUAAUAGAGGAGAGAAGCAAUUUAAUAAGCUUACUAGUAAAAUCUUCUCUGCCACUUUCAACCCCAAUAUUGGUCUUCUUUCCUGAGCAAAACUGGCUUGUUACAAGAAAAACUUGGGCCCCAGUAAACUGUAAUUUUUUAAGGUGAAGUCAUUCAAUUCAAGCUUUCCUGUCCAAAAGGAAGAGGAAAAAUAUCAACUUAAAGGAAAUAUUAGUUAAUCAGAGGACAUCCCUUUCAUAAUAGAAGCUACUAGGGGAUUUAAAAGAACAUUCUAAUUAUAAUAGUUCCCUAAUUAUCUGCCUAACAUCUCAUUUUUCUGUCUAAUCCCAUUUUUAAUUAUAGAGUACCUUUUUUUGCCCAUCACACAACUGAAGUACUCUAUUUUACUGAAAAUAAAUCCAUUUAACUGGCGAUGUCAGACAAGAAAUAUUGUCACUGCACCCUGGAACGUGCAUGCUGUUUGGGAGGGAAAUGCCUUGCCAGUGGUUUUGGAUAAAAUUCCUGGAUGUUCCUUUUAGAAACAGUCUCAUUUAAAGCUUUCCAGGUUUUCUCAAGUAAAAGAAAAUGCUCUAAACCACACUGUGCUCUGCAACUGUGUCUGGCUGCAAAAGUUUUCACGCAUUUAGCUUUGUUUCCCAAACUCUUGCAGCUUGGCCUCCAUACCACUGAAGUUCGAUAGGAUCCCUGCCACCAGCUAAUGGUGGAAUAGGAUUUGGCCUUUGAACCAAGCCAGCAUGCAAUUUACAGAAAGGAAGCAAUAUUUGAGCUAUGUUAUCUAUGAGCAUCUGGUCAUCAAGAUCUUGCUUAGCGAUUAGCAAGCCAAGAGGAAACCCUAUGGAGGGGGGAGAGGAAAUCCCGCAAGCAGGGUUCCCAUUUCCAGCCCUGCCAUGAGUUUCCUGCCCUAUCCUCCAGCAAAUCUCAGCUCUCCGCUUCCCGAGAAUAAAAAAAAAAAAAGAAUUACCCUUCAGGGAAAUUGUCAGGCUUAAUGGAUGUUUAUAAAUCGCUCGAACAAAAGGUGCUAUGUCAGAGAAAAGUACUCAUCCCGAUGAUUAUUCAAAUGCUCAUUAAAAUGCAUUUUGCUCUAUCCUUUCCCUUGGUUUGUGUGGGAGGCAAUUGAAAGAUUUAGUCUUUGUGGGAAAGUGGGAGAGCUCAAGCACUUUCCUUUGGGUGUGGGAGUGGCAACUUUGGGGAGUUAAGGACCUUUGGCAUGCAGGUAGGGUUUCGUCCAAGGCUUUUAAGCUCCCAUCCAGGCUGCAAGCUCUGACAGACCCAGGACUGGCAAGUUCCCUCCAGGAAGACAAGCCAGCGAUUAAUGGUACCAACCCCUGCUCAAAUUUGCAUGUAUCAUUUCCUUAGCUUUGCUCCUGAUGGAAUUAAGGAUCAUCCUUUAGGGAAAAUUAUUCUUAAUGUGUAUUUAAGCAUUAAAAAUGAAUAUGCGUGUGUGAUAAAACUUAGGGAAUAAUUUAUAAACAGCUAACAUAAAGUGAGAUAUGGAAGAGCUCGCUGCCCUGCAAACCUGUGUAAAUGCAUGUAUAAUGCCAGGAUGCGUCUUCCCUCAUGGAUGUUUCAUUAUGUCUCCCUGACCCCUUCACAGCAGCUUGAUCUGCCAGGGUCUGCUGGCUAUUCCAGGUAUUAAAAGCUGAAGAAGACACAAUAUAACUUUUCAACACGUCAGACAGCAGCUUGGCACUGAGCUGGCAGCCUAGACACAGUAUUUUUCACCCUCUGCAGCUCCAUGAAGCUGCAUGUGCAACCACUUCCCCUCAAAUAGUAUCCAUGAUGAACAGGAACUUUUUUUCCUGCUGACUGAAAUAGCAGAAUUUCUGCAUUAGCUCUGAAAAUGAAAAAUAUGGAUAACCUGGGGAGGAGUUUCUAUCGAAAAUGCAAAGAAUUUAAUGCUUUUUGGGCUAAAAGUCACUGCAAGUAACAGUGAAUACUGUUUCUAAUUAAAGUGCACUUACUUGCUCUUAUCCUGUUUAGAGGAUGGGAGAUGCUUUUGCAGGGCACCAUGAGCGCUCCCAGGUGCAGUUCUCCCCACUCACCCUUGCAGUCGUCACAUAAAGCAUCAGUAGUGACCCCUCCAUUACCAUUUUGACUUCUACUUUUUUCCCCUCCCCUGGGGUUACUUUUUCUGUCUUGUCCUUCCUUUAUGCCAGGCAAACCCUCGUUGUCACUGCAGGCAGCUGCUGGGAUGAACUCAGCCUCCUCCAGUGUAUUAUACAACCACGUGAACUGGCACUUCUUGCACCUCCUCUGCAGAGGCUGGAACAGACUGUGCAAAGCAUGAACCAGGGGUUUUGAAGUGGCCUUCAGUGCUUGCCCCUCUCUCAUCCAGGACUUGGAUGUGAUACACACCAAGGAAACAGAAAAGGGGGGCAGACUCUGUCCAUUGGAGCCUUCCUGCCCCACUCUUCUUUCUGACUUGUCUUCAUUCACUGCCCACUGUGGUGCACAGUGACUCUACCACAUCCCAGAAGAUGGAAAGAGAUGGUUUUGCUCAAAUAUUGCCCAGCUCAUUCUUCUUUAAUAAAGAGAUUGUUUGGUUUCAUUUUUCAUCACUUUAUUUCUCAGCUAAUUCGAAGAGCAUCUGCUGGGCAUGCCUGGCUGCUUUUCUAGCAAAUCUAGUUGCUUUAGUCAAUUAUACUGGCAAGUGAAGGUUUUCAGCAUGGUAAACUUCCCUGUGCCAAGGGCUGAUGCUCCAUGAGACUGGUGAGCCUCAGGAAAGGGGCACCGUGACCUGAUGAGGUUGGUAGACUGACAAUAAGACUAUGUGAGGGACAAAUCUAGUCCCACCAGCAUCCCCAGGACAGACUGAGGUUGCUUAGGAAAAGCCUAAAGCCCCUGCAUCCCCUCGCAAAUCUGCUCCUGGUGUGACACUCUAGCUAAAUCUUGCACAUGCCAAGGCACACAUUCUUCCUUGUUGAGUAAUUAAAAUGCAGUGGGCAAAUGAUGGAGUAGCAGGAAGGUGGGGAUACUGAAGACUUCAAGCAGUGGACAGGAACUUGUUUUCCCAUUCCCUUCACAGAUGCGCUGUAGAAAUUUAAUGGUCAAUUAGAGCAAAACUUCCCUAUGUAUUCUCAGCACUGGCCUACAUUUCAAUUAGGGUGUUUGAUUUGGCACACAACACUUUGCUAACCUCACUGUGCUUUAUAUCCCAUAUCUAAGGUCUGAAACCUGGUCCUCAGCUCUUCAGAAGCCUCACCUCUACAACAGGAGCUGUAAGACCUUCUAAGCUUUUCUACCACCCUCCAUGGCCUUCAAGUCUGACAACUUUAAAUGAAAGAAGCUGGUUUUGCACAAAAAGGCAGGGCUACUCACUGAUGUCUGCAAGGACUUAGGAAGAGAGGGUCCAGCAUGGCUCCUUGGUGUUUAAGUAGAAGCUGUUGAAAGACCUCCUUUACAACCCAUAGUCAUCUUGCGGUUUUAAUAAAUUUAAAGCACCUUUUACCCCCUUCA